CGUCAAGUCCUCAUGGCCUUUAUGACCAGGGCUACACACGUACUACAAUGGCAUGUACAGAGGGCGGCGACACCGCGAGGUGAAGCGAAUCCCUAAAAGCAUGUCCCAGUCCGGAUUGGAGCCUGCAACUCGGCUCCAUGAAGUUGGAAUCGCUAGUAAUCGCGGAUCAGCAUGCCGCGGUGAAUACGUUCCCGGGCCUU
Molecule: ribosomal RNA, 200 nt
Filed under: uncultured prokaryote
Description: partial 16S ribosomal RNA
Rfam family: Bacterial small subunit ribosomal RNA
Source: RNAcentral